This is a non-coding RNA of Styela clava, 1376 nucleotides long. The record is from RefSeq and is a predicted model, not a curated record. Lineage: Eukaryota; Metazoa; Chordata; Ascidiacea; Stolidobranchia; Styelidae.
UCCAUGGAAUGUGGUUUAAUCAGGCAAUCUUCUCAGUCACAUCCCAAAUAAAUCUACGUUCUUUAUUUUCACUAGUAAACAGCAAUCAUUGGUCACUGAUUAGAGUGAGAUAGAGAUUACGGUAUCUUUGUUUCUUUAUUAAAAAUGACAACUCCCUCUCCUUAUGUUUCUCUUUGAUACUGCCCCUUUUUCUCUUUCGACCUUAAAAUAAUAUUUGGCGCGCGUACUACAUUUCGGUUCAGGGCGUGGUAGUGUGAGGUCGUUACUGUGCUGGUCUGAGCCAGGUAUAUUCACAGUUUAAAGGCAAGGAAGUCCUGAAGUGAAAAAAAAUCUACCGAUAUAUGAUGUUGGCAUGAUUGAUGGUGGAGUGACGACUGAUGGCUUUGCGAAGAAGGAAGAUAUUGUUACUGCUGGUGGUCGAGUGACGAUUGGUCGAUGUAAAUGGGAAGAGCUUUGCGAAGAAGGAAGAUGUUGUUACUGCUAGAGCAGGGGUGUCAACAUGCGCCCCCAGAAAACUUCCUAUGCGGCCCUCGAACGCUUAAACAAUAAUUGUAAUAUUUUCUGUUUGCGCCCCUUUGCACAAUUCCCAAAAUGCAAUGCGGCCCUUGAAAACCCACGAGUUUGACACCCCUGUGCUAGAGGACGAGUGACGAUCGGUCGAUGUAAAUGGAAAGAUCUUUGUGACGGUAGAAGAUAUUGUUACUGCUGGUGACCGAGUGGCAAUUGAUCGAUGUAAAUGGACAGCAGGCAUACGGAUGCGAAAUGAGGUUUUGAAGAAACAAGAUGGCAAUGCUCAAUAUGGAGACGAAGCCGGAACGAAAUAUUUCACUCCCAUAAAAAACAUAUCCUGGUCACGGAAUAGCUGUAGUUGAUUCUGCCGGAAACAGCGAAUCAAGGCGAUCUCAGUAUUACAAAUCUGGAUAAAGUGCGUACUGGACGGAAGUAAAAGAUGAUUAAUCUCACAUGAAGUAGACGAAGAAUGGUAGUUUUAUCUUUAUAGAGUGUUUUAGAAUUGUACCAAUCGUAUUUUCCAUUAUAUUUUAAUCAGUUUUGUAUCCGGGUUUUAGAGGAGGUCAGCGCUUGCUUAGCCACCCCAGAUCGUGUGUCAUGAUAGGUAUUGAUUGGUUAGGGACACCGAGAUUUUUUUGGUGAUGUGUACAUGUGAGGGCUGCCAUCAAAUAACUAUCAGCUCGUAGACUGCUAUCAUAGAUAUAAACGCAAGAUUUAUUCGAAUACGGUAUCUUGUGAGUUGGCAAGGUUUCUGUACUUUGUCACAAAUUUCGUCAUUCUGUGCCUAGAAUCUUUGCAGUUUUUGUUAUUUUAACAUUUUGCCAAUCAAUGGAUAUUAAUAAAUAAAUAUAACCGAUGAGAAAAAA